AGUGGCGGACGGGUGAUUAAUGUCUGGGAAACUGCCUGAUGGAGGGGGAUAACUACUGGAAACGGUAGCUAAUACCGCAUAACGUCGCAAGACCAAAGAGGGGGACCUUCGGGCCUCUUGCCAUCAGAUGUGCCCAGAUGGGAUUAGCUGGUAGGUGGGGUAACGGCUCACCUAGGCGACGAUCCCUAGCUGGUCUGAGAGGAUGACCAGCCACACUGGAACUGAGACUCGGUCCCCACUCCUACUGGAGGUAUCAUUGGGGAAUAUUUUACAAUGGGCACAAACCUGAUGCUUCCAUGUCGCAUGUUUGA
Molecule: ribosomal RNA, 311 nt
Filed under: Klebsiella sp.
Lineage: Bacteria; Pseudomonadati; Pseudomonadota; Gammaproteobacteria; Enterobacterales; Enterobacteriaceae
Description: bacterial SSU rRNA
Rfam family: Bacterial small subunit ribosomal RNA
Source: RNAcentral